Molecule: ribosomal RNA, 404 nt
Filed under: uncultured bacterium
Lineage: Bacteria
Description: bacterial SSU rRNA
Rfam family: Bacterial small subunit ribosomal RNA
Source: RNAcentral
UGGGGAAUCUUGCGCAAUGGGCGAAAGCCUGACGCAGCAACGCCGCGUGCGGGAUGACGGCCCUCGGGUUGUAAACCGCUUUCAGCAGGAACGAAAAUGACGGUACCUGCAGAAGAAGGCCCGGCCAACUACGUGCCAGCAGCCGCGGUAACACGUAGGGGCCAAGCGUUGUCCGGAUUUAUUGGGCGUAAAGAGCUCGUAGGCGGUUCAGUCAGUUGGGUGUGAAAACUCCGGGCUUAACUCGGAGAGGCCACCCAAUACUGCUGUGACUUGAGUCCGGUAGGGGAGUGGGGAAUUCCUGGUGUAGCGGUGAAAUGCGCAGAUAUCAGGAGGAACACCGGUGGCGAAGGCGCCACUCUGGGCCGGUACUGACGCUGAGGAGCGAAAGCGUGGGGAGCAAACAG